GGAAUAUUGGGCGUAAAGAGCUCGUAGGCGGUUUGUCGCGUCUGCCGUGAAAGUCCGGGGCUCAACUCCGGAUCUGCGGUGGGUACGGGCAGACUAGAGUGAUGUAGGGGAGACUGGAAUUCCUGGUGUAGCGGUGAAAUGCGCAGAUAUCAGGAGGAACACCGAUGGCGAAGGCAGGUCUCUGGGCAUUAACUGACGCUGAGGAGCGAAAGCAUGGGGAGCGAACAGGAUUAGAUACCCUGG
RNAcentral lists this ribosomal RNA (243 nucleotides) under uncultured Pseudarthrobacter sp. RNAcentral's name for it is "partial 16S ribosomal RNA". It matches the Rfam family "Bacterial small subunit ribosomal RNA", at positions 552 to 790 of the family's 1533-position model. Lineage: Bacteria; Bacillati; Actinomycetota; Actinomycetes; Micrococcales; Micrococcaceae. The record is from RNAcentral.